UGAUGUUCAUCUCCAUAUUUAAGGGUCUAUCCAAGGUGGGAAAGAUGGUGGAUUUGACUGAACGACGGUUGGACUGGAUAUAUUUGGCUCGAUUUGAUAGAGCAACAUGUAACAUGUAAAUAGGUUAAUACCUUACUUUCAUUUACUGCUGCUUUGGUUUUUUUAUAAAUGCGUGUGAAGGAGACAAGAAAAUCAACAAGACAGGGAAACCUGUUCCUUCCAGGAGCGAAUUCGAAGAUAUUGAGAGUUGAGACAUGAAAAGAAAACUGUGAACUUGCCUCGAAGGAUUGGAGUAAUUUCAAGAUCCCAACCGGAAUCUUGCCCAGCUCUAUUGGCCAAAAAAUUCUUUGCCAUGAUGAAGGUGUCCAAAUCUUGCAUGGGUGGAGCGGAUGGAAGAGUGACUAAAGGAGAAGAACAUGCUAAGAUGAACAUUGACCAAGUUUACUAGCAUUGGACCGAGGAAACUUAUCAACCAUGGCAAUAAUUAAAGCAAAAGUGAGGGAGCUCCCUGAUCAAAGCUAACUGAAUAGAGCAGAAGCCUGGAAGAGUGUGUAAUGGCUUUAUUCACACAUGUAACCUUUAAACCCAAGUUUGACCUCUUGCUUUACGCAUUUGCAGUGAUACUGUGCACCCUCAAAUCAUGAUGACCUCAAGCAGACUGUGCAUGUGCACUGAUGGUUAAAAUAUGGAGAGAAAAGUCCAAAAAGAAAGCAUCAAAUGAAAAAAUGGGAAAAUUUAUGCAAUAUCUGAAGAGUAGCAUGAAAUUUACACUUGGAAGGUAUUGGAUUUGCAAGACUAUCACGCGAUCCGCUUUCUACGUGAAGUUUUGGAACGACUCUGAAAUUCUAAAUCCUGUAGAGCAAAAUUUUUCGGUUAUCUGAUGUGAAUCUGUCUAACCAGAUAUCAAAUAGUUCACUUACCUGAUAGGUAAAACAAAAGCUUGGAUAAUGACCUAUGAAAUGGAAGAUUUUCCAACACUGAGAACAUUGUUUCCUCUCCAGACACUUUUACGAUAAUUACUUUUUGACCAAUAAUCAGAUCAUCGACACUAUCACCUUGUCGCUUUCAAUCGACGUUGAUAUCCCUAACAAUUCCUCAAUGACUGCAGUCUUGAAAGAAGUUGCUCAUCUUGAAAGACAUCUUAAGAUAACACAUUUAUGAAUUGGACAGAAUUGUAUUGAAUUGUUCUUUCCAUUGUUUUACUACAUAAAUAACUUGAAAUAAAACAACAUUAAAGAGAUGAAA
Molecule: long non-coding RNA, 1245 nt
Organism: Stylophora pistillata
Lineage: Eukaryota; Metazoa; Cnidaria; Anthozoa; Scleractinia; Pocilloporidae
Source: RefSeq, a predicted model, not a curated record